This 29-nucleotide non-coding RNA is filed under the name Mus musculus (house mouse). The record is from RNAcentral. Lineage: Eukaryota; Metazoa; Chordata; Mammalia; Rodentia; Muridae.
UAGUCUGUAUAAAUCAAUGGAGUCUUAUG